CUGGAAAUUUUAUUUCUAGUGAUUGGAAUGAUGGGAAUUUAAACCCCUUUCAGAGUAACAAUUGGAGGGCAAGUCUGGUGCCAGCAGCCGCGGUAAUUCCAGCUCCAAUAGCGUAUAUUAAAGUUGUUGCAGUUAAAAAGCUCGUAGUUGGAUGUCUGCUGGAAGCAAUCAGUCCGCCCUAUUUGUAGGGUGUGCACUUGAUGAAUUCUGGCAUCUAUGUCCCAAUAAUAUGAUGGUGUAUACCCUGUGUACACCCAUCUAUAUUGGGAUAAUACCGUUACUUUGAGAAAAUUAGAGUGUUUGAAGCAGGCUAAUUGCCUUGAAUACUGCAGCAUGGAAUAACAAUAUAGGAUUUCGGUUCUAUUUUGUUGGUUUCUAGGACUGAAAUAAUGAUUAAUAGGGACAGUUGGGGGCAUUCGUAUUUAACUGUCAGAGGUGAAAUUCUUAGAUUUGUUAAAGACGAACUACUGCGAAAGCAUUUGCCAAAGAUGUUUUCAUUAAUCAAGAACGAAAGUUAGGGGCUCGAAGACGAUCAGAUACCGUCGUAGUCUUAACCAUAAACUAUGCCGACUAGAGAUAG
This 580-nucleotide ribosomal RNA is filed under the name Sarcocystis cruzi. Its description in RNAcentral is "SSU rRNA". It matches the Rfam family "Eukaryotic small subunit ribosomal RNA", at positions 486 to 1055 of the family's 1831-position model. Lineage: Eukaryota; Apicomplexa; Conoidasida; Eucoccidiorida; Sarcocystidae. The record is from RNAcentral.